Non-coding RNA from Parelaphostrongylus tenuis, 73 nucleotides. The record is from the annotation of a GenBank genome assembly. NCBI's taxonomy places the organism in Eukaryota, Metazoa, Nematoda, Chromadorea, Rhabditida, Metastrongylidae.
GCGUCGGUGGUGCAACGGUUAGCAUACGCCCCCAGGAAAGAGUGAGAUCUGAGUUCGAAUAUCGGCUGAUGCA